Molecule: long non-coding RNA, 1190 nt
Filed under: Triticum aestivum (bread wheat)
Lineage: Eukaryota; Viridiplantae; Streptophyta; Magnoliopsida; Poales; Poaceae
Description: long non-coding RNA (TAES_LNC014387)
Source: RNAcentral
CGCUAGGAACCAUCUUUAUCAUCGGCCACCUCUUGUGCUGUACGUGGUUUGGUUCUUACCUGAACUUGUGUUUUUUACAGGAGCAUAGGGCGGUUGUUAGGUGUGCGCUCGAAAUGAUGGCCCAGUAGAUGGAUGACUCGAUGUGGGUUAGAUGGUGAAGCUUCUCUUUAGGUCUAUCGCCCCUUUUGUCGUGCUGUGUUGUUUAUGAUGUGAUGUUCCGGUCUACCAGUCUCAAAAAACUUCAGUCUGCUGCUUGUGGGUGAACAUUCGCUGUCGGUAUUAGGAUCAGCGUUGGCCUUUGCUAUUGUGUGGUGUUUGCUUAGCUUCUGGUUGCUGGUGAAUGUAAAGAGAAGCUUGGCUAUCUUAUUUAGUAUGCCCGUUGUCCAUGCUAUGGUCUAUGUUGAUGUAUGCGGUCUUUGUGAAUUUGGGUUAUACCUGUUGCCCAUUGUGAAUUAAUCGUGCUAUUCGAACUGGUUCUGCUGCUGGAUAGAUUGCCUAAUCAAAUUUAACUGGCAGUUGUGGUGCCCCUCGAUGUUGUUUAUGGUUUGUAUUUGUGUUUUACAAGUCUUUACAAACUUCUACUCUGUUCUGAUGGUCCUUUCUUAAUAUAUUUAUUUUCCUGUUAUAGUUGUCUCUCCAAUGAGGGCAGGCCUGGCGCAGUGGUGAAGUCCUCCCCACUUGUGCCAAGAGGUCCUGGGUUCGAACCAGCCUCUCUGCAUUGCACUUUGCAGGGGUAAGACUAGGUUCCUAUAAUCCCUCCCCAGACCCCACCUUGUGUGGGAGAUUCUAUGCACUGGGUCUGUCCUUUAGUUGUCUCUCCAAUUUAAGUGAUUUGGGAUUUCGGUAUCUGCCUCUGAUUUGUAGAGUUAGAAAUUUGUGGUCCAUCACUGUUGGUGUAUGCGCCUCUUACAGAUUUUAGCAUAUAUCUAUUUUACUAGACCGUUUGUUCAAUAAUUUUCUCUCUACUUCUACUAUUUGUAAAUAUGUCGACUCUUGGGUGUAGAAUUUUAGUAUACAUAAGUUGCUAUUCUAUCUGACAUCUAUUUAUAGCUCCAGUUCAUUCAGACCUUGUUAGUCCCAUUUAGAUACAUGGUGGUAAUAUCAUGCUUUCAUCGCCCUUUUUAUCGUCCGAAUAGUAACUUGAGUUACUAAUAACUUAACAUUACACGCUUGAUCAAAACGUUCGGACA